This 406-nucleotide ribosomal RNA is filed under the name uncultured bacterium. RNAcentral describes it as "partial 16S ribosomal RNA". It matches the Rfam family "Bacterial small subunit ribosomal RNA", at positions 29 to 526 of the family's 1533-position model. The record is from RNAcentral.
AUUGAACGCUGGCGGCAGGCCUAACACAUGCAAGUCGAGCGAGCGGCGGACGGGUGAGUAAUGUCUGGGAAACUGCUUGACGGAGGGGGAUAACUACCCGAAACGGUAGCUAAUACCGCAUACCAUCAGAUGUGCCCAGCUGGGAUUAGCUAGUAGGUGGGGUAACGGCUCACCUAGGCGACGAUCCCUAGCUGGUCUGUGAGGAAGACCAGCCAGACUGGAAUUGAGACACGGUCCAGACUCCUACGGGAGGCAGCAGUGGGGAACAUUGCACAAUGGGCGCAAGCCUGAUGCAGCCAUGCCGGGUGUGUGAAGAAGGCCUGCAGGUUGUAAAGCACGUUCAGCGGGGAGGCGUUACCCGCAGAAGAAGCACCGGCUAACUCCGUGGCAGCAGCCGCGGUAAUUC